GUCCACGCCGUAAACGAUGGAUACUUGUUGUUGGAGGUAUUGACCCCUUCAGUGACGAAGCUAACGCGUUAAGUAUCCCGCCUGGGGAGUACGGUCGCAAGAUUAAAACUCAAAGAAAUUGACGGGGCCCGCACAAGCGGUGGAGCAUGUGGUUUAAUUCGAUGCAACGCGAAGAACCUUACCUAGGCUUGACAUGUAUUGGAAGACUGGCAGAAAUGUCGUCGCCUUCGGGCCGAUACACAGGUGCUGCAUGGCUGUCGU
Molecule: ribosomal RNA, 261 nt
Filed under: uncultured bacterium
Lineage: Bacteria
Description: partial 16S ribosomal RNA
Rfam family: Bacterial small subunit ribosomal RNA
Source: RNAcentral